RNAcentral lists this long non-coding RNA (18237 nucleotides) under Marmota monax (woodchuck). The stretch from base 15631 to 15698 matches the Rfam family "tRNA". The record is from RNAcentral. Lineage: Eukaryota; Metazoa; Chordata; Mammalia; Rodentia; Sciuridae.
GUGUAAUAAGAAUGUGUUCAUGUAUGCUCCAUAUAUGAGCCCUGUGAUGGGAAUAUGUGAAAUCUCAGGCUGAGUAAGAAGCCUAUUUUGUGGGUUCUGAUAGCAUCCCAACAUGCUCCUUCCUCAGCAAACUAGUCAAAGGACUCUCCUUCCCUACAGGUGACCAGCCAAUUAGUCCUCGACAUGGCCAACAACGCAUUUGAUGAUCAGUAUGAGGGCUGUAUCGAAGCAAUGGAGGAAAAGGCACCCCAGCUGUUAAAAGAAGAGCUAAGCAUGAAUGAAAAAUUUAAGAAUGAAUGGGAAAAUGCUAAGAAAAAAUGGAAGCAAAUAAAGUCCAACAUAAACUAUUCAGAAAAUUUCAAUGAUUUCCAUGGAACUGCUAUAGUGGCCUACACUGGGAAAAUUGCAAAAGAUUUUAACCAAGCUGUAAGAGAAUUCAGACUAAAUUCAAGUGACUUUCAGUACAAGGCCUUCCAUUAUUAUCUGACAAGAGCUCUUCAGCUUCUGAGGACAUCCCAGUGUAACCAAGUUUUUAGAGGCUCUCAUACCAAGUUUUAUUACAGUGGGGCCGGUAGUGUACGAUUUGGGCAAUUCACUUCAUCAUCUUUGAAUAGAAAUGUAGCUGUUUCUCCAAGAUUUCUUGGUGCUGAUGGGACAUUGUUUAUCAUCAGAACCUGUUUGGGUGUUAAUAUCAAAGCAUUCUCUCUCUACCCUCAAGAAGAGGAAGUGUUAAUACCAGGGUAUGAAGUAUAUCAAAAGGUCACAGUAAAACAAACUGGUAAAAAUCACAAUGAAAUUUCCCUCGAAGCUCCCCAAAAACGAAAGAGUAACUUCAAUUGCUUUAAUUCUACUCCAAUUCACAGCAAAUCAGACAUCAAUUUCAACAGUUCAGGUGAGUCUGGGUCUGCAUUGGAGGUGGGGUUUGUGGGGUCAUCAUGAAACAGAAGAGGGUGCUCCCCUGCAGAAACCCCCACAGCAGAGAACAAUGGGCAUCCAGUCCAUUGCUGAAGAGUCUCAGGUUCCUAAAAGGACAGGACUACUGUUUUGGAGUGGAGAACAGAGCUCAGGCUCAUAGACAUGAGGCCAUUUCUAGUCCAGCCAAACUCCAGUUUCCCCUGCUGUGCAGAAAGGUCAGAAAGUCUUGUGGGACACCAGGUAGAAUGAACCAAGGAAUGUACUGGUGUGUCAGGGGCCAGCCAUAUCAAAGCAUCAGAGGAAUUGGGAGGCUUGCUGGUUCCAGACAGAAGGGCGUGGCUGCUGCAGAAUCCAGGCAAGAGAUGAAGGUGCCUGAACUGAGUGAGUGGCUGUGGUGCUGGAGGCGCCUGGGUUCUAGGUCUGUCUAUAAGCUAUCUCUUCCUGGGAGGGAAGACAGUGAGAGGUGGACAAGCUGAGGGGUGCAGUCAGAAAAGAGGAUGGGGGACCUUGAGAUUUCAAGUGUGAAGUGUUAACUGUUAAUCAGGUUCCAGGACAUUUCCACAAAAGUAAUUGGCUAGAUUGAAGAGCAAGAUGGAUAGCACUGGAUUGAGGAGUUGAAGAACUGAAGAUUUUGCACUGAGAACAACUCAGCCCUAGUGUAUAGGGAAUGAGCCUAGGACACUCACAGGACUAAAGAAAGAGAGGCAGAUAGAUUGGGGCACUCAUUGAUGAAAGCGUUGGUGCUGGACAACAGCAAGACCAGAUUGGAUCUGAGCAGUUUCAGUCAGAAAAAGGAGGAUAUAUAUGGAUGAGGACAAAAGUGACUAUCCUGCCAGGUGUGGUGUCACACUCCCGUAAUCUCAGUUACUCAGGAGGCCGAGGCAAGGGGAUUGCAAUUUGGAGACCAGCCUGGGUAAUUUAGCAAGAUACUUUCUCAAGAUAAAAAAUAAAAAGGGCUGGGAUGGAGCUCAGUAGCAGAGCACCCGUAGGUUAAAUUCCCAGUCCUCCACUAAUGCCCUCCCAAAGUGACUUCAUCCUGGAUGUAAUGUACUUGGUUUAUCUUAAGUUAAUAGCAAAGUGUUAGGAACUUCCCUGGAGCCAGGAGCCAGUUGUAAAUUUCCACAAACCGCUCUAAUGACUCUGUCUACAUAUAGUUUGCUGAGAAACUAUGUAAAAAAACUAAGCUUACCUUGGAGCAAUCAUGGCAGUUACAACUCAAGAUGGCUGCAGUCAUGUCAAGUUAAAUCAAUACAAGUGGUCCACAUGGUAGACCACAUGUAGAGGGACAGUGCCUGGAAUGAUGAAGGUAGAGUUGGUAAAAUCAGGAGAUAGGAACCUCAAAGAAGACAUACCAAUAAUGGUUGAAACUGGUUACAAAGAACACCAAGAAAGCUGUCACCACUCCCAGCCUCGAGAUGCAUAAGAAGAGCCACCAUGAGCACUUUCCCCAUCUUUUCCCAAGUGGUCCUGGCUUUUAGAUCUCUAUGCAUUUACACCAAUCAUUUCUUGUGGCCUGCAGUCUCUCUUCUUUGACUACAUAUCAUAUUUGAUCCAAGCUAAGACACCAUCAAUUUCAACAUGGUGAUUGUCUUCCAAGACCUAGUUCCAAUAUCACUUCCAAUAAUAAGCCUUCCUUGAUACUUUCAAGGAAAAUUAAAUCCUACACCAUUCUCUAUGGCAUAGGUUUGGACUCAGACCACCUCAAUGAUAAUCUGGCUCAGCAGCACUAGUUUUAUGACUUCAAGCAAGUUGCCUAAGUAAUCUGUCUCUGAAUUUCCUCAUUUAAUGAUGGGAUACAAAUAACAAACACUUGAGUAGUAUCACUGUGAGAAUGAUAAGAUUUUUAAGAUUUAUUGCUUGGCACAUAGUUUUGCUCAACAAAUACCUCCUUUUUUUUCUCGUGGAGAAUCUUGUCCACAUCUCAGCCAUUUUGCCUCAUAAUGGAGUAUGACUUACCAUUUAUAUGAUAAUCUCUUGCUUAUAGCCUGGAGACUUUGUCCCUCCUAUUUACCUGCAUUCAAGAUCUGCCAUGGGCUUGACUUGAAUCAGGGUUCCAACAUAUAUUGAUGCAGUAAGUUACUUUUUAUUGAGAGGCCAGGGGUCCAACCAGAAGUGGAUCUGGGCUGCAGAGGGACUAAGCAUCCAAGAAAUUUAAACCAAAUUUGCUCUUACAUUCUGGAAAUCCCUUCAAAAACCAAAAAGAUGUCCUUGCAGUUUCUCUCUCCUUGGUAUUUAUUUUUUUUUCUUUUUACCAUUUUUAUUGGUACAUUAUAAUUUACAUAAUAAUGAGAUUCAUUACACCACAUUUGUACAUGUGAGUUACAUAAUUUGUUCACUUUCCUUCCCUGGUACCUCUCCAUUUCCUCCCCUCCUCCCUCCCCCUAAUCACUUUCUCCCUGGUAUUUCUCCUCUCUCCCCCUAAUCACUUUCUCCCUGGUAUUUCUGACUACUUCAGGAAUCCUGGGAAAAUAAGAGGAGAGGCUAGUCAGGUUAAGUGAGUGCCUAGAGCCCACCUUCUAGGGUUUUGACAUGUAGGUGAAGCUCUGAAAGUUAGGAGGCUAUGUCUUGAGAAACUCCACACUGAAACCUUUCCUUCUCUCCCUCCCAUAGGCCCUGUGUUCCUGCUGCUGCUGCUACUGCUGCUUGCUGAGCCAUAGCCCUUGGCCUGAAGUUUCUCUUCCUUGACUACAUAUCAGAUUUGUGAGCAGGAUGUUGGAGGAAGGACAAGGAUCAGAGACUUGACUGGGUUCUCCAAUGUCAGCAGUAUUGGGAAGGGUAGGAUCUUUUUUUGUAGUCCGCUUUAGUGCUUGUGUCCCUCACAGAUAUAUGAGGAAAUUACUAAAUCCCACUAUAAAAGUGAGCAUACGGUCUUCAAAUUUACUGCCUGAGAUAAGUUCCUGGUGUCUUGACACUUUGCUAUGGUUACAAAUCAAUAUUUGCAUGCACCGUCAGCAGUGACAAUCUCUUUAAAAUGCAAUUUGUGAUUAAUGUUAUAAUCUAAAGAAAUAAACCAUUCAUAAUCACACCUUGCUUUUCUGUGACUAGGUUUCUCUAUAGAUUGUAUUAUGCUCAAGAAACUCUCUUAAGGCAUUAGAUCUGAUGCCAGAAUUUUUACAGCUGAGAAAAUUCAUAUUGCAUAUUUUUAUAGAUAUGUUUGUGGGACUGAUUGACUGAGCCAUAAAUAUGAGGGUUGUCCUAGAUAAAUUCCUCUCUCUACACUACUCCGCCAAAAAUGCAUGCAGUUACCAAGCCCUGUCAAUUAACUUUAAUAAUCGUUCUCAAAUCUAUUCCUUGCCUCUUGCCUACUCUGAUCAUCUUUGAGAAAAUGGAAAAGCCUGUUGUGAGGUGUGGAUGGAGCGCAAAAUCUAGGCAAUGUCCUAGCCAAGAGUGGGUCUAGCUAAGAUGCACAGAGCUUCUCUCACUCCUCAUUCCCCACUCUCCAUGCCUGAAAGACUGCACUGCCAUUGCCUACCAGCUACUGAGAUAAACUAUGAAGACAUGGUAAGUAAUUCCAAAUAGUAUAAUGGUGCAAUAAAAUCAAAAUCAUUGGAGAGAAUAAAGAGGUAAGAAAAUACUCAGGCAAACACAGGAACAAGGUAUAUGGCAGGGAUGGCCUUACAAAUCACGGGAGGAAACAUGAGGGUGUGAAUGGAGUUAGGACAGCUAAUUGUCUACAUAAAAAAAAAUGAAAGAAAAGAAAUAAGAAAUUGGAUUGGACCCCUACAUUGCAUAGAAAGCCAUUGUUUUGGACUUAGCUGCUUCAUGAGGCCCAAUAGACCAGAUCAAGCCAGAAUGGAGUCACUUUUGCUGGAUGCCUUAUAAUCAAAAUGAACUUUGAAAGGCACCAGUUUUCUGACAUCUAGGAGAUUCACAGUAACCAGUCAGAAGGCGCCCAAGUUACCUGACCUAGCAUGAUGAGGAACUGUCCACUUUUUUAAUUCUAUAAAGAAAGUACCUUCAAAUAACCAAUAUACUUUUUGUUCCCUAUUUAUGCUUUCUUUAGCUCUUUCCUGCCUGUAAAACCAACCCCCUCUGCUGUUCAGCUGAUUAGGAUAUCUUUUAUUUUUUUGGUACUCGGAGCUUGAACUCAAGGGAUCUCUACCACUGAGCCACAUCCUCAGCCCACUCCUCGCUUUUUUUUUUUUGUACUUUUUUAUAAGACAGAGUCUCACUAAGUUGAGGCUAAGGCCUUGAACUUGUGAUCCUCCUGCUUCAACCUUCCUAGUCUUUGGGAUUACAGGCAUAAGGAUUGUGCCCAGCUCAGAAUAUCCAUUCUCUUUUGUAGAAUGAGAUGUUGCCUGAUUUCAGUAAAAGCUAAUUUGUUUUUUAAACUAAAUCUGUUAUUAUUUUUUCAACAUACCAUCCGUGAAAGUAAUCCUAAGGAAUGUAAAGAUCUAAAUGUUAGAAUAAACCUCCGAAACUCUUAUAAAAAUAUAAAAGAAUAUUGGGCUGGGGCUGGGGCUCAGUGGCAGACCACUUGCCUAGCAUGUGUGAGGUACUGGGUUCCAUCCUUAGCACCGUGUACAAAAAUAAAUAAAAUAAAGGCAUGCUGUCCAUCUACAACUACAAAACAUUUUUUUAAAUAUAUAGAAGAAUAUUUGUUUUAACAUGAGAGCAAAAGGAAAAAAAGAUUUAUUUCCCCUCCAUGCCUAAGAUCCUGGGAUCUUAUUACUUCUGCCAAGAAUGACGUCAUCACUUUUAUAAUAUCUCAUUGAUCAAAGCAAGUCACACAGCCAUCUUCAACUUGAAGAAGGGCUUUCCAGGCACCCGGAAAGAGAAGAGAGGAGGAAAAUUUGUAAUAAAACCCGUUGUUUGGGGAAGUAUAUCUUAAGACCAAAAAACAAAAUAAAGAGAAACACAAAUAAAUUUGACAUAGUAAUAACAAGAUGAAUAGCCAAAAUUUUUUGGGUACUUACUGAGUUAUCGGGCACUUAUUCAAAGCAUUUUACAUAUUUAUUCAUUUAAUCUUCACAAUAACCUCAUGAGGUAAGCUCGACUCUUUCCCAUUUAUACCAUCGAGGCUCUGAGGAGUUAUGUAACUAAUUGUCAAAAUAAACAAAAUAGACAUAAGAAGCAAGGAAAUAGAACCUAAACUAUGGCAGGUCAGGUCAGGGGUGUUGAAGGGCUAGGAGGGGUUAUGCUAAGUAAGCAGCAAAAGCUGGGCUUCCAGAUAAGAUAGAGCUCAUGGGUCUGCACUUCAUUGGUUAAAAGAAAUCCUAUUGUUUUUAAUUCAGGAAGGAGUGCCUAAUUAUCAUUUGGCCUACAGGGGUCAUUAAAAGUUCAUGAUUCUUCAUCAACUUUAGCAGGAAAAAACAGGUGUGAUGAAAAAAAUGUUGGGUUUUAGAUAAGUCCCAGGCGAAUGCUUUCUGUAGGUCAAAACUUCUCUUACACUGUGAGGAAAAUAAGUCAAAAUCAAACACAUAAACUUCUGAAUAACAAAAGACGCCAGAAUCAAAAAGCAAGAAGGAGGCUGGGAAAGGAUCUUUGUGAGAUUUAUAACAUGUAAAGAAUGUCUGCAAAAUAGAAAAAUUAGAAUAAUAUAUGAACAGACAAUUUACCGAAGAGAAAAAUCAACCUUUUUUUUUUUAAUGCCAAUUGCGAUUGAAACACAAAUCAAGGCAACCAUGACAUAUUACUUCAACUCUUCAACUUUAACAUGGGCUACUCGAUCUUAUCAAGCUGUUGCAAUUUAAGCAAAGUCUUCUAGCUUUUGUCAAAUCGAAACUCUUGAGAAUUGACAGACUUUCUGAAAUAUAGGGAUUUAUUGAGGCUUUACAAAUGCUAAACAGAAAAAAAAAAAAAAGACCAGUUCUGGGAAAAGUUCCUAAAACCAUUGGCAAUAGGCCCGGGCAGCAAUUGGAAACAUGUCCACUGGACCUAGAGCUUAGAGUAUCUUUGUAUAAACUCUGAGGAAGGAAAGUCUAAGUAGUUUACAUUGACCUUCAUUGGCUCUGGAAUGCAGGAUAAGGCUAUGGGACAGGAGGAUUGUUCAUAAGUAGAAGCACCUGCUUCUGGAGUAGUUGGGGUUAAACAUCUGGAGGGUUUGUAAAUCAACAGGGUUUGGUGGCCCUGGUGGUCAGCCAUGAAGGGAUUGAAGCUUUCAACAUAAACAGUCUUUUUGGUUCUUUGCCAGCAGCUGUUAACUGAUUACCUACUUUGUCUUAUUUCUUCCCUUUUCUAUUCUCUGGCCCUUGUGAUUAAUCUCAGAAUUUUUCUUUUAUCACUUUUAAUCUGCAUAAGUUUCUGUGUCUCUGUUCUCAUGUUUUCCUUACAUUGUUUAUUUAAUAUCCAGAUGAGAAGGGUUUUUAUUUUUUGCGACUAGGGAGUGAACACAGGAUUUUUUGAGACAGGGUCUCACUAAAUUGCUGAGGUUGACCUACAACUUGUAAUCCUUCUGCCUCAAGCUCCAGAGUUGCUGGGAUAUCAGGUGCUCACCACCAUACCUGGCCAGUAAGAAAGGUUUUGAUGCAUCCUUUAAGUCUGCCACCUAUGAAACAUAUAAACAGUAUUGCAACCUUAGCAAUUAUUUCCACAUCAGUGAGAUAUUUUGUAUGACUUUUGUUCAAUUCAAGAAUGCAAACCGGGCAUGGUGGCACAUGUCUAUAAUUCCAGGGACUUGGGAGGCUGAGGAGGAGGAUCAUAAGUUCAAGGCCAGCCUGGGCACGUUGGGGAGACCCUGUCUCAAAAUAAAAAAUAAAAAGGGCUGGGGAUAUAGCUCAUUGGUAGAGUACCCCUGAGUUCAAUCUGUAGUAUCAAAGAGAGAGAGAGAGAGAGAGAGAGAGAGAGAGAGAGAGAGAGAGAGAAAGAGAGUGUAUAAAGGCACAUUCUGUAUUUCACACAUUGUUGAAAGAGUGGGGUAAGACCAGUAAGACCAGGCAUGGUGGUGCAGCUCUGUAAUCCUACCAACUUGGGAUGCUGAAGAGAAGAAUCCCAAGUUCAAGGUCAGACUCAGCAAUUUAGUGAGACCCUCAACAAUUUAGCAAGACUGUCUCAAAAUAAAAAGGGAUGGGAAUGUAGUGGUAAAGCACCCCUGGGUUCAAUUUCCAGUACCACAAAAAAAGAAAACUGAAAGGUUGGAGAGUGGGGAAGGUUUUUAACAAGUAAUAGAUUAUGAAUUAAAACCUGAGAGUUUAUCUAACUUUUUGUUCCCUGAUCUGGUCCCUGAUUAUCUCAGUUACAUGAACUUUAAAGUCAGAAUGAAAAAAACUCAUGAAUACAUUGGGGCUCAUUCAGUAGGAGGGCUACAGCAAAGUGGAAAAAAUCUUUUUUGUAGGAUUCUGAUGUAAUCACAUUCUUAGCCUUAGGGUUGAUGAAGGCCAGAGGUCAGUGAUAUAUACCAAGUGUUUUAUCUGGUAGUUACAAGGAUAUAAGGUCAGAUACAGAGAUGGGUAGUAAAUGAUUAUUAACAGGAACUAUAGAUAGCCCAAGAUAACUCUGGCUCUCCAUCUGUAACAUUCCAUCUCUCCAGAACCAUGAUAUUCUUGUCAGCCACAGUCCAACAGUCUGCAGGUCCUUCAACAUAACUGAGGCUUCUUCAGAGAACUUCAAUUCACAGCUUUUAGUUAGUGUGACCUUGAAAUCCAAGCCUGUGGCGAUGUCUGACUUCUACUCUAGCCCUUCCAAACAUUGUAUUGAAUUGUAUUUCAAUUCCCUGUAUUGAAUCCCUUUCUGUCUGAGGUGCCUAGAGUGCUUCUGUUUCUUUCAUAGAAUCCUAACUGAUGCAACUGGGCUCCCUGCUUCUGCUCUUGCCCACCAGAGUAGCCCCAUGAACUCAAGACACAAUAUGCAAUUUCUUUGCUCAAAUCUGUGAAUGGCUAAAAGCCAAAGUCCUUCCAAUGCCUUAAAAAGACCACAUCCAAAUUUGGUAUUCCAUAAACAUUCUGAUCUCCUCUUCCACUGCUCUCCAAAUUGCUUGCUCUGCUCCAGCUACGCUGAUCUCCUUAUAAUUCUCUACUGUGCAGGCACUCAUUGGCCUCAAGGCCUUUGUUUUGUGUUCCUGCUCCCUGGCACUUUCCCUAGAUAUCUGACCAACUUACAAAGCUUAUUUCAAGUCUUUACUCAAAGACCCCCUUCUCAGUGAGAUGUCCCAUGUCUGUGUAUGAUUAGAUUACUACCCUCCUGCACACCAUCCCCCUUUCCUGCUCUUCUUUAGCACUUUGCAGUCUAAAACAUCACGCAUACAUUUCUGACCCUAUUGCAUAUUGCCCCCUCCACAUUGUUGAUCCUAUAAGGUUUUUGUCACUAUAGCAUUUACUACCUUCAAUGCUAUAAAUGUCUCCCAGACUCUGGAAUCUGAACUUCACAAGGACAAGGAUGUUUGUAUGCUACUUCAUUGGUAUACCCCAAGCACUCAGAACAGUGCCUGGCAGGUAGUAGGAGCUUAGGAAAUCUUUAUUGAAUAAAGAAAUUGUCUCCAUUCUGUGAAUGAGAAAACUAAGACUUAGAAGAACAUGUUUCUUCAAUGUACCAGCCCCAAAGAGGCAGAUCUGGAGUUACCCUGAGACUGAGAGCUGCAUUAUUUAAAAAAAAUAUAUAUUUUACUAUUUUUAAAAGAUAUUUUAAAUACUUCAAUAUAAUUUUAAAAUAUUUUAUUAAAGCAUGGCCUACAUACAGAAAAGUGCACAAAUCAUAUAUGUUCCACUUGAUGGAUUUUCAGAAAAUGAUCACACCUGUGUAACUAUCACUCUGAAAAAGAAACAGAACAUUACUAGUGAUCCAGAAUCUCCUGGGACCCCCUACUCUGGGGGCAUUAGAAAAGUAACUACUACUCUAACUUUCAAUUAAUUAAGUGUUCAAUUAGUUAGAGAUUAAUUUUGCCUGAUUUAAAACUGUAUAUAAAUGGAGUUGUAUGGAAUAUAUUCUUGUGUUUUGGUUCAUUCACUAAAAAUUACACUUGUGAGACUCAUAUUUUCACAUAUAGCUGUAUUUUAUUCAUUUUUAUUGCUUUAUUAUAUUCCUCUGUGAAUAUGUGAAAAUUUAGUUACCCAUUCUAUUGGUGAUGGGCCUUUUGUUCUUUCUAAACUUUGGCCAUUAGGAAUAAUGUUGUACGUAUAAUGAACAUGUUGUAUAUAUUGCACACAUGUGAACACAUUGUUAUACAUGUCACUCAUUUUUGUUGAGUAUAUACUUAGGAGUAGGAUUGCUGAGGACAUGUUAUUUAUAGAGUUGUCCCUAUGUAUCUCUGGAGGAUUAGUUCUCCCCACCACACCAACAUCUGCAGAUGCUCAAGUCCCUUGCAUGAAAUGAUGUAUAAUGGGUAUAUAACCUAUUCACAACCUCUUGCAUCCUUUAAAUCAUCCCUACAUUACUUAUAAUACUUAAUUCAAUGCAAGAUGGGAACAGUAGUUAUACUGUAUUAUUUAGGGGAUAAUGACAAGAAAAAAAAGUCCAUGUAUGUUCAGUACAGUUGCAGUUUUUUAUGAAUAUUCUCAAUUUGCUUGUUGGUUGAAUCAAUGGAUGUAGACCUUGUUAUAUAAACAGAGGGCCCUAGGCUGAGGAUGCAACUCAGUGGUAGAGUGUCUGCCUGGCAUGCACGAGGCCCUGAGUUUGAUCUCCAGCACCACAAUACAAACCAACAAACAGAAGAAAAGAAAAGAGGGCCCACUGUAUACAUAAUGUUCAAUUUUAGUAGAUCCUGUCAAAUAAUUCUCCAUACCCUCUCUGGACCUCAAUUGAGAAGCAAGUUAUUUAUCCCUGUGUUUAAGAGUAAGAGAUUCAUAACAAGCUAUAAUGGUGGGGUACACGCUCUCACAGUGAUAACACAGGUGGCAAUACUGGAAGCCUUGGCACCUGUGUGAUGAUUAACUUCAUGCUUCGAUAUGAUUGGCCAAGACGAUGCCCAGAGAGCUGGAAAAGCAAUAUUUCUGGGUUUAUCAGUGAGGUAUUUCUUGAAGAGAUUAACAUUGACUCAGUAGAUGGGUAAAGGAGAUCUGUCCUUACCAUUACAGGUGGACACCAAAGGCAAACUCUUCCCCCCUCCUUAAGCUGGGCCAUCCAUCAUUUCCUGUCCUUGGCUGUAGAAGCUAUUGAUUCUCAGGCCUUCAGACUUAGGAACUUAAAUUAACCCCCAUUGUCCUAAAAAAUUUUCUCUCUGGCCCUUAGGCCUUUGACCUCGGGCUGGGAGUUAUACCAUCAGCUUCCCUGUUUUCAGGCCUUUAGAUUCAGACUGAAUUGUACCACCUGCUCUCUCAGGUCUCCAGGCAGAGCAUGGGACUUCUCAGCCUCUACAAUUGGAUGAACUGAUUCCCAUAAUGAAUCUAUGGAUUCUAUUUUCUGGAGAACCCUAGUUAAUAUAACCUGUGAGCCAUUUUUGGGAAGACUUGAUAAGGUGCCUUCCAAUGGAGUUCCAGAGAUGUAUUCCUUUGACAAACACAGGAUCUCCGUCAACAGUUUUUUUUUUUUCCCCAUUACUCUGUCUAUAGAGGUCAGUUGGUAGGUUGCACCUAGAAUAGAAUGUUUUGAUGCACACAUCAUUCAUGCUUUGAAAUGAAACAACAUUAUCUGGCCUACAAAUGCUCUGCCAACGAGUGGCCAUGGAGAGUAACUAGAAAUGGUAUAGACACUUUGCAGCUGGAUCAUUUGGGGAAAGUCCUGAUCUUUCUUUUGUAGUAGAUGCCACGGUAUAAGAGCUAUGAGAUGGGUACCUGGCCAUUCCAGUCCAGUUUCUGUACAACCCUAUCCAAUUUAUCUUUUUUAGAAUUCCAUUUUGAAGUUUCUCUAUCUUCUCUGAUUCUAAGUAAUGUGAGCCGCAAAACAUUUAUGAAUCAAUAAGGCUUUACAACUAUUAAUAGACAAAGGUAAUCCAAGUUUAAAAAUAAAUCUUUAGAAACUCUUGGCCAAAAGACAUAGUAUCAUUUUGGUGCCCUAGAUUCAGUUUCUGGUGAAGGCCUCCUUGCUGGCUUACAGGUAGCCAUCAUUUUGCUGUAUCCUAUAUGGUAGAAGGAGCUCUCCAGGGUCCCUUUUAUAAGGACAUUAAUUCCGUUUGUGAGGGCUCUCCCCUUGUGAUCUAAUCACCUACCAAAGUCCAACUAUCUAAUACCAUCACACUGUGGGUUACAUUUUUAACAUGAAUUUGAGCAAACACAAAUAUUUUGCCUACAGCAAGUAGUGAGAGGAAAUAUUGGGUUUUUUAUUUGUUUAUUUUUAAAACAAUUUUCUAUAGUCUGGAAGUACUCAAAAACAUAGUGAGAACUGAUACAAAUACAAACAGACUUUUGAGAAGUGAGACUACAGAUUCAGAAGAAGCAACGUGUUUGCUACCUGAGUCAAAAAUAAAGAAUUUUUGCUACAUGUGUUAACAGCAGACAGCAUCACCCAAGAUCUUUGUUUUUUAAGUCAUUAACUUUAAUGUACCUUGUAUCAAAACCUCAUGCUCAAUACACAAAAGAAUGUCUAUCAAACACAUUCUCUCAGCCUCACUGACCAUUCCAGAUACUGCAGAAGUGAAAGGUCCACCCUGGUUCCUGUGGAUGCCCUUCUCUUCAGGGGCUUCCUGCCUCUAGUCAUCCCUAAUACAGAGACAUGAGGAGACUCCACUUUGCAAUUACACCUGUGCAAUCCAGGAAUGUGGGGAAGACAAAGUUCCAAGAGGAACUCCUCUCAACCAGUGGAGGACAGGAGUCAAGGAUAAGUAAUUCUUGUUUGCCCCCCAGACAGAUGGUUCUGAGUCUCAAUUCAGAAGGCCACCACAGUGCCCAGUGGCAAUAUGUUUAAAUGAAAAUAUCUAGUUUUUAAAAAUAUCAUGGAUAAGAUCAAGCACAUUACAAAGUCACAUUAUGGAUGCAUCAAUUAAUUUAUCCUCCUAAUUUGAAUGUUUUGAAGACCAAAUGUGCCGAUACAUAGAAAAUGAUACAUAGGGUAGAGAAUUUUGGUUAACAUAUUCCUUAUUUUCUCUGCAUUUUAAUUUCUUUAAAAGUCUCAAAAUAAUAGUAGUAACUUAUUAACUUAAAAUUUUACCAUUUAUGGUUCAGAAUCAUUGACAGAUCUUAGAAAAUAUACUAAUAUAUUUUCUUAUAUCUUAUAAUCAACCAAUCUCUGUUGAUUAUAAGAGUUUAUAGAAGAAAUAUGGUAAUAAAACAUUAUCCAUUUAAGUAGAGUAACUGUAGAUGUUCAUAAUUUUUAAUAUUAUACAAGUUCCAAAAGUAUAAGAACUAGUUUAUAAAAUACUGGUGUUUAAAAUAAUCAACUAGCUGAAUACUCAUGUUUACAUUGACAUAUUCUUGAAUAUUAGUGCAAGUAAUAAUAAUUGGAAAAUUUAGAAAUUCUACCUUGUUUAUCUUUUCCAAAGAUUAAAAAUUAAAUUCAAAGUCUUUCAGAAAUUAAAUACCACAUUUGCAUUUUUACUUAUGUAAAAUCAUCUUUUAGUCAUCUUUUAACUAAAAUUCAAGGUAUAGUUUAUUUUAUCAAAGGGUUUGCCUUGAUAAAUAAUAUAAGAGCACAUAAGUUAACAUUUAAUUUCUAUUUAUUUACUUUUCCCUGCUGCAUCCUUUGUUUAGAGCCCCACCUGUAAAACCCCUAAUUGUAAGGCCAUUGUUGCAAGAGACACUGUGACAAGAUGGAGGCGGAACUCCAUUUGAUAAAGGUUGUACAGUAGCCAGAUUUGAUGGCUUUUACUUCCUUUUUUUCUCUUUCCUCCCCAGUUCCAAAUCACAGCAAAUUCUGAAAGAGCAGCUAAUUUCAAAGGUAAUCUGCUUUACCCAGCCCCACUCUUGCUCAGGGGGCUUCUGUUACACUUAUUUGAAACAAAUCCCUCAACUGAAAAGGAUCACAUGAAAUACACAUUGGCUUCUAGAACACAGUCUUCCCCCUGAAUGUGCUCAUUCUCAGGGGCACACGCUGAAGUAGAAUUCUUGGAAGCUUCUUGGUCAAACAAAACCGACAUCCUUAGGACAAACAGUGUCCAAGUUCUAAGGGAAGAAUUGCUUGAGCUGAAACAGUAGGUACUCCCAGUAGGCCCACACCACAGAAUGGGGCCACAAAAGUCCUUGUCCUGUGCCAUUGGGAAAGCUGAACUAAUUAAAAUACCAGAGACAGACUCAGCAGAAGCCAUCAUUUCUCUCUUAGAAUUAAGACAACUAAAUACUUCCAGGUAUUUCCCUAGAAAAUGAAAGAGAGAGAGAGGGCGGGGGGGAGAAGUAUUUGGGGGAUAGGCUGGUUGAGGUGGCUGUGUGCAGGAGAGGGUAGCAGAGGUCCUAAUCACAGAGAAGUUUUGAGUACAGGUUAGAAAAUACUCUGGUGUUCUUUUGAGCCAGCAGACUAAAGUGUCCAACCCUUCCCUGAAGGCUGACACUUAGCAGCUCCUCCAGGAUGUGUGGCUGCUGAGUUUGCUCAUUAGCAUUUCAUAGUCUGCAGUAAGCAAGUGCAGCCACCAGGGGGCAAGAUGCACCUUUAACCCUGGCCUUACUGAAUACCAGAGGGUCCUGGUCUGGUCCUUGAAGGUGCAUCUGGAACUUCACAUCUCAGGUCAGUACCUUGUUUCCCUUGACUUGUGAAAGAGGUGGAUCAUUAAGAUAAAAUAAGGGGAAGACACCCUGGAAGAGACUAAAACUAAGAAGCUGAAGAACAAUGUCAGUGUUCUGUGUACGUGUUGUCAUUCACCCAUAGAGUCUCCACGUACUUUAACAAGGACCAAAUGACUUUAGAAAAAGGAAACUGGAAAGGAAAUGAGGAAACGUGGGGAUUCUCAACAGAAUUCAUUGUGCUGACUCUUUUUGUGUUCAUUAAUUUAUACCUGGGUCAGGGCGUCCUGUGCCAGACCCGCCAAAGGAAAUCCCACAAUCCUCAACUUCGGGGAAGCACCUGUGUCAAAGUUACACUCAGGCCAAUUAACAGCAUGGUUCAAGGGCUUCCUUAUAUUUAUUUUAUUGAGUGUAGUUGGUAUGCUAUACCUGUGGGUUUUACAUCUGUGGAUUCAACCAGCAGCAGUUAAAAAUUCUGGGAGAAAAGAAACGAAAGGAAAGGAGGAAGGGAGAGAGGGAGAGACAGAGAUAGAAAGCAUGUGCACAUAAAAUACGAAAAAAAAUUAUGUCUGAACUGAAAGUGCACAGAUAUUUUCUAGUCAUUAUUCCCUAAAUAAUACAAUGUAACACUAUACAUAGCAUUUACAUUGUAUUAUUAUAAGCAAUCUAAAGAUGAUAAACAGUAUACAGUCAGGUAUAAUGGCACAUGCCUUAAUCCCAGAGAUUCAGGUGUCUGAAGCAGGAAGAUGGCAAGUUCAAGGCCAGUCCCAGCAAUUUAGGAGCUCUAAGCAACUUUGCAAGACCCUGUCUCAAAAUAAAAGAAUAAAAAGGACUGGGGUGAAGCAAGCCAGAGACCCCCACCCAGAAGACCCUUGCCAUAAUUAAGCUUCUCCUCUUGUCAGAUCAGCAGGGUGUCUGCAAAGCUUACUGUGGUUGAAGUUUCCUCUUUCUUGAAAAUGCCAGGUUUGCACACAAAAGGUGUGAGUUAGUCUGCAAGCUUGUUGUAAGCAAAGAUAUUAUCUCUAUUUUCUUGGUAAAAACUUGUGUUGGUCUAGAGGAUGGAAGAGAGAGCACUUGUUAUGUAAAACCUCCAAGGCCCUCCUCCCACUGGAUAUAAAGUUCAAAGAAUUUCCAAAAUCUUUGUUCAGAGAAAGAAUUCUUAGGCGAGAGCCACCUCUGAACCCUGCAGUCAAUAAACUGCUUCUUGAAAAUUCCUCAGGUGUCCAGCCUCUCCUGGCCUACUUCAGGGGGUCUGUCUGGGGUUGUAGCUUAGUGGUAGAGUGCUUGUCUAGCACAUGUUACUGAGUUCAAUCCUCAGCACCACCUAAAAAUAAAUAAAAUAAAGGUAUUGUGUCCAUCUAUAACUAAAAAUAUUUCUUUAAAAAAGGGGGGCUGGGGAUGUGGCUCUGGGUUCAAUCCCCAGUACCCCACCACCACCACAAAAUAAAAGUAUACAGCAAGAUUCAUAGGCUAGUGAAAAUGCUGCUCCAUUUUAUAGAAGGGACUUGAGCAUUUUGGGGGUCAGAGGUGGGUUCUGGAACAAUUCCCCUGCAGAUACCAAGGCAUGACUAUAAUAGAAUCCUCCAAACCUUGAUUAGAAGUCUCAGUAUUGAAGGGUUUUUUAAAAUCUUCCUAACUGCCAAUUUUGACCUAAUGUGAAUUGCACAUUAUUGGGACUGAUCUUCAUAUUUAUUUUGUAACUCAGCAGGAACGUUGAAGCUAUUAAACCAGAACUUAGGUUUUUUUUUUUUUUCCAUCUAAAAAUGUUUAGAAAAAAGGGCUUAGAUUUGAAAACAAGAAUAGUGUUUAAAUUUGUAUUAACAACUUAGUUUAUUUCUCAAGGUUAUUUACACAUUCACCAUUCUAUUUUAUUCUUAAAAGAAUAUAAAGUUUACCUUUUACCCAAAGGCUUUAAUACUCAAUUGAGUAGUUUCAUUUUUUUAUCACUUGGAAGUUUUAGUAGAAACUGUUUAAAAAACUCAUCCUUUUGAAACUAAUUUCUUUAAUCUUUUUAAAUGUCUUAACAUAAAUUAUAGAAUGCCAUUUACAGGCCAAGUUUCUUUGUAAACUCAAUGUUCUGCUAUUUGGAAGGUUUUCUUUUAUUGUUCUCUCACCCUGGAGGCCUUUUUAUAAAGUGCUGGCACAUUUGAAGCAUUGGAGGUGUGGCUUGGUUUCUUAAUUUUUCCCACAGGGAGACAUUGAGUCCCUUUAUCUUAGAUUUAUAUAAGCUCUCAGUGGUAUCUUGUAAGCAAUAUAAAUAGAAAUUUUACAGGGGUUGGUUGACAUGAUAGUUGUAUUUUCUGCAAAUCUACAGAGUAGGCCUAAUUAAUUCCAAGCUGUCUCUGAUAUCAAACUCAUUUCUUUGUCGGCAGGAUAUACAGACCAGCCCUGCAGAGCAAGCAAGCUGAAAUAUCUACUGUUUCCAAAAUCUCCUAGAAUUCCCCACCCCCAUCCUCUCCGUUCAUACCAACUCAAACCAAUGCAUCUGGACCUUUGCACAGGGCUGGGAGUCUCUCACUCAACAACAGAAGAAAUUAUUACACGACUGCAAAAUUGGAAGAUCAAACAGGAGAAUUUUUCCCUUAAGAAAAAGAAAGAAGAAAUCUUGCAGACGUCCAGAAAAAGUCACUCAAGCUUCCAGGAAGCAACAUACACAUAUUUAUCCUCUAGGGGGCAGGAGUUCUCUGUUUCUGGUGGAAAACACUUCACUGGUCCGGAGUUUUGCCUCUUGGAACUGCUAGGGAAACUUCACUUAGCUGGGUCUUAAUUUGAACAGAAAGAAAACAUUCCAGCUUCGAAUUAGAGAAAAGUCUAACCCAGAAACUAGAAGUACUCAUUCCAGAAGACAGAGGCACAAAGCUCUUUCAAUCUGCUCUGACUGCUGGUGAGCUCACAGAUGCAGCUCCACAUGUGUGCUCUCAAGAAUGCCUGGCAAAAGCCACAAGAUACAACCAUCCACGACAGCAGGAAGCAGCAUGGCAGGUUUUUGCUUCGGAUGCCCUGUUGAUGAUCUAGCCAGCUGUUCCUUGAUGCCCUUUUCUGAGCUGGUUAGAAACAUCCCAGAGAUAAGCAAGACCCAAAUAAAUUGUCUGUCACUGCCUGGGUUCUCUUUCAAAAACAGUGCCAAACACAAGGAGCUGCCUUCAGAAAACUCGUUUGGGAGAUGAUUGCAGGGUGCAAGAGUGAGGAACUUGUACUGUGCCAGCCAUUCCUGUCUGCUGGGGACUGGGGAGUUUGCUAAGAUUUGAGACUUUCACUGCUAAAAUUGGAGAAGUCUCAAAUAAAUGAGGGAUGAGUUGGUUGUGCAGGAACUGGGUGCUGUACUCAAAGGAGGUAAGCUGGGCAAGGCUGGGCUCAUGUGUUAUUAGAUCCCACAGCAUAGAGGGCACCUCAGAAUUGUAUGCCCGCAGGAUGGACGUGGGGAGAUUUGUCCACUGGUUUCCAUUCUCCAUUAGUCAGUUUUGCUCCUUGGGGGCGUUCAUUCUGCCCACACUCAGGGUUCCUGUGCCUGAGUGCCUGUGAACUCCCACAGGCAUUUCCCACUGAGGCUUCAGAGAAGCCCUGGGUGGAAAGUGAGAGAAACACAAUACAACUGAGGAAUAGCAUUGUGACACCUACACAAACCCGAUUGCUGCAGCAAUGGCAUUUGGACUGAUGGGGUGAAGUGGGCCCAAGAAGCGUCCUAUGCAUGAAGGUUAAUUUCACCUUCUUUUGGUUGGCUUAUCGUUGAGCUCAGUAUGGGAUCAUCAACCUCUGCUCUUAGCUUCCAGUUAAUUUAAAUGAAAUAAAGUUCUCAGAUUUUUUAUUUAAAUAAGAAAUCCAGCAAUGUAGUUUCAUUUCUCCUUGUGUAUAUGGAGGAAGGUGC